RNAcentral lists this ribosomal RNA (254 nucleotides) under uncultured prokaryote. RNAcentral describes it as "partial 16S ribosomal RNA". It matches the Rfam family "Bacterial small subunit ribosomal RNA", at positions 525 to 777 of the family's 1533-position model. The record is from RNAcentral.
ACGUAGGGUGCGAGCGUUAAUCGGAAUUACUGGGCGUAAAGGGCGCGUAGGCGGCCCGCUAAGUCGAACGUGAAAUCCCUCGGCUCAACCGAGGAACUGCGUCCGAUACUGGAUGGCUUGAGUCCGGGAGAGGGAUGCGGAGUUCCAGGUGUAGCGGUGAAAUGCGUAGAUAUCUGGAGGAACACCGGUGGCGAAGGCGGCAUCCUGGACCGGAACUGACGCUGAGUGAGCGAAAGCCAGGGGAGCAAACGGGA